AACGCACCUUGCGCCCUUUGGCAUUCCGAGGGGCACACCCGUUUGAGUGUCGUGACAUCCUCAAAACCUUCUUGGUUUCUUGACCAGGAAGGCUUUUGGACUUUGGAGGCUUUUGCUGGCCUUCCUUUGUUGGAGCCAGCUCCUCUGAAAUGAAUUAGUGGGGUCUGCUUUGCCGAUCCUUGACGUGAUAAGAUGUUUUCUACGUCUUGGGUUUCGCACUGUUCCCUGCUUCUAACUGUCUCAUAGAAGACAAUGGUCAAGUGAUCGCCACUUGACCCACAAACCUUGACCUCAAAUCGGGUGAGACUACCCGCUGAACUUAA
This 323-nucleotide unclassified non-coding RNA is filed under the name uncultured Russula. RNAcentral describes it as "sequence contains ITS2". Lineage: Eukaryota; Fungi; Basidiomycota; Agaricomycetes; Russulales; Russulaceae. The record is from RNAcentral.